AAAGUGGCUGUAUUAACAGCCACUCAAUAUUUAUAACAACCUUUUAU
Gilliamella apicola is the source of this 47-nucleotide non-coding RNA. Lineage: Bacteria; Pseudomonadati; Pseudomonadota; Gammaproteobacteria; Orbales; Orbaceae. The record is from Rfam.